Molecule: ribosomal RNA, 253 nt
Filed under: uncultured bacterium
Lineage: Bacteria
Description: partial 16S ribosomal RNA
Rfam family: Bacterial small subunit ribosomal RNA
Source: RNAcentral
UACGGGGGGGGCAAGCGUUGUUCGGAAUUACUGGGCGUAAAGGGCUCGUAGGUUGCCAACUAAGUCAGACGUGAAAUCCCUCAGCUUAACUGGGGAACUGCGUCUGAUACUGGAUGGCUUGAGUUUGGGAGAGGGAUGCGGAAUUCCAGGUGUAGCGGUGAAAUGCGUAGAGAUGUGGAGGAACACCAAUGGCGAAGGCAGCCUUCUGGGCCAACACUGACACUCAUGCACGAAAGCGUGGGGAGCAAACAGG